UAAUACGGAGGGGGCUAGCGUUGUUCGGAAUUACUGGGCGUAAAGCGCGCGUAGGCGGCUUGCCAAGUUGGGCGUGAAAGCCCGGGGCUCAACCCCGGAAUUGCGCUCGAAACUGGCAGGCUAGAGACCGGGAGAGGAGAGUGGAAUUCCCAGUGUAGAGGUGAAAUUCGUAGAUAUUGGGAAGAACACCAGUGGCGAAGGCGGCUCUCUGGCCCGGACCUGACGCUGAGGCGCGAAAGCGUGGGGAGCAAACAGGAUUAGAUACCCUGGUAGUCCACGCCGUAAACGAUGAGUGCUAGACGUCGGGGGGCAUGCCCUUCGGUGUCGCAGCUAACGCAUUAAGCACUCCGCCUGGGGAGUACGGCCGCAAGGUUA
Molecule: ribosomal RNA, 375 nt
Filed under: uncultured bacterium
Lineage: Bacteria
Description: bacterial SSU rRNA
Rfam family: Bacterial small subunit ribosomal RNA
Source: RNAcentral